UACGUAGGGGGCAAGCGUUGUCCGGAUUUAUUGGGCGUAAAGAGCGUGUAGGCGGCCAGAUAGGUCAGCUGUGAAAACUCGAGGCUCAACCUCGAGACGUCGGUUGAAACCAUCUGGCUAGAGUCCGGAAGAGGAGAGUGGAAUUCCUGGUGUAGCGGUGAAAUGCGCAGAUAUCAGGAAGAACACCUAUGGCGAAGGCAGCUCUCUGGGACGGUACUGACGCUGAGACGCGAAAGCGUGGGGAGCGAACAGG
This 253-nucleotide ribosomal RNA is filed under the name uncultured bacterium. RNAcentral's name for it is "partial 16S ribosomal RNA". It matches the Rfam family "Bacterial small subunit ribosomal RNA", at positions 524 to 776 of the family's 1533-position model. The record is from RNAcentral.